RNAcentral lists this ribosomal RNA (253 nucleotides) under uncultured bacterium. Its description in RNAcentral is "partial 16S ribosomal RNA". It matches the Rfam family "Bacterial small subunit ribosomal RNA", at positions 524 to 776 of the family's 1533-position model. The record is from RNAcentral.
UACGUAGGGACCGAGCGUUGUCCGGAUUCAUUGGGCGUAAAGAGCUCGUAGGCGGCUGUUCAAGUCGAACGUGAAAACUCGGAGCUCAACUCCGAGCCUGCGUUCGAUACUGGACGGCUAGAGUCUGGUAGGGGGAUCUGGAAUUCCUGGUGUAGCGGUGGAAUGCGCAGAUAUCAGGAGGAACACCGGUGGCGAAGGCGGGUCUCUGGGCCGAUACUGACGCUGAGGAGCGAAAGCGUGGGGAGCGAACAGG